AGACCCGAAACCCGGUGAUCUAGCCAUGGGCAGGUUGAAGGUUGGGUAACACUAACUGGAGGACCGAACCGACUAAUGUUGAAAAAUUAGCGGAUGACCUGUGGCUGGGGGUGAAAGGCCAAUCAAACCGGGAGAUAGCUGGUUCUCCCCGAAAGCUAUUUAGGUAGCGCCUCGUGAAUUCAUCUCCGGGGGUAGAGCACUGUUUCGGCUAGGGGGCCAUCCCGGCUUACCAACCCGAUGCAAACUGCGAAUACCGGAGAAUGUUAUCACGGGAGACACACGGCGGGUGCUAACGUCCGUCGUGAAGAGGGAAACAACCCAGACCGCCAGCUAAGGUCCCAAAGUCAUGGUUAAGUGGGAAACGAUGUGGGAAGGCCCAGACAGCCAGGAUGUUGGCUUAGAAGCAGCCAUCAUUUAAAGAAAGCGUAAUAGCUCACUGGUCGAGUCGGCCUGCGCGGAAGAUGUAACGGGGCUAAACCAUGCACCGAAGCUGCGGCAGCGACACUGUGUGUUGUUGGGUAGGGGAGCGUUCUGUAAGCCUGUGAAGGUGUGUCGUGAGGCAUGCUGGAGGUAUCAGAAGUGCGAAUGCUGACAUAAGUAACGAUAAAGCGGGUGA
This 616-nucleotide ribosomal RNA is filed under the name Salmonella enterica. Its description in RNAcentral is "partial 23S ribosomal RNA". It matches the Rfam family "Bacterial large subunit ribosomal RNA", at positions 711 to 1324 of the family's 2925-position model. Lineage: Bacteria; Pseudomonadati; Pseudomonadota; Gammaproteobacteria; Enterobacterales; Enterobacteriaceae. RNAcentral also lists the same sequence under 1 other name. The record is from RNAcentral.